ACUCCUACGGGAGGCAGCAGUGGGGAAGUAUUGCACAAUGGGCGCAAGCCUGAUGCAGCCAUGCCGCGUGUGUGAAGAAGGCCUUCGGGUUGUAAAGCACUUUCAGUCGUGAGGAAGGUGGUAGUGUUAAUAGCACUAUCAUUUGACGUUAGCGACAGAAGAAGCACCGGCUAACUCCGUGCCAGCAGCCGCGGUAAUACGGAGGGUGCGAGCGUUAAUCGGAAUUAGCUGGGCGUAAAGCG
RNAcentral lists this ribosomal RNA (242 nucleotides) under uncultured bacterium. Its description in RNAcentral is "partial 16S ribosomal RNA". It matches the Rfam family "Bacterial small subunit ribosomal RNA", at positions 335 to 567 of the family's 1533-position model. The record is from RNAcentral.